Molecule: non-coding RNA, 434 nt
Organism: Plectropomus leopardus (leopard coralgrouper)
Lineage: Eukaryota; Metazoa; Chordata; Actinopteri; Perciformes; Serranidae
Source: RefSeq, a predicted model, not a curated record
GGUGCCAGUGCAUGUGCCGCGGUUUGGCGGAGGUGCCGGGAGGACGGCAAGUAUUGUGACCGGAAGCGUGAGAAUCAUCAUCCCGGAAAAGGAAAUGUCUCCAAAAUGAGGUGGUGUUUUUGAACAUUUGGCAGAAGAAAAAAAAAGAAAAAACACUCUUGGAUACGUUUCCUGGUCGGGAGGAAAGCAGGAAGAGCUCUCCGUGUGAAGACGCAGGUUCUAAAAUCUCGAAACAGUGCUUCUGAGAGGCAUGAAUGACUUUGCAGUUCUCAACACGGGGCGGAAGAUGCCCCUCCUCGGACUGGGAACAUGGAAGAGUGAGCCAGGAAAGGUACAGGCUGCACUUCUGUCCUCUUUCAGUAAAAACAGGUUUUUAAUUUGAUUUCUCUCUUACUGAUAAAUCUGAUCAAACAGCUGGUCUGUGUCACUCCCCC